CGGUAGAAGAAGUUGAAGACGAAGAAAGAAGAAGAAGAAGAACAACAAG
This 49-nucleotide small RNA is filed under the name Arabidopsis thaliana (thale cress). RNAcentral describes it as "ATSL125400". The record is from RNAcentral. Lineage: Eukaryota; Viridiplantae; Streptophyta; Magnoliopsida; Brassicales; Brassicaceae.